AUCUCGUAUGGAUUAAAGCUUUAUGCGCUUUGGAGGGGCCUGCGUUUGAUUAGCUAGUUGGUGAGGUAAAAGCUCACCAAGGCGACGAUCAAUAGCUGGUUUGAGAGGAUGACCAGCCACACUGGGACUGAGAUACGGCCCAGACUCCUACGGGAGGCAGCAGUAAGGAAUCUUCCACAAUGGGGGCAACCCUGAUGGAGCAAUACCGCGCGCAGGAUGAAGCGUUUCGGCGUGUAAACUGCUUUUAUCACCGAAGAUUAUGACUGUAGGUGAAGAAUAAGGACCGGCUAACUACGUG
RNAcentral lists this ribosomal RNA (298 nucleotides) under uncultured bacterium. RNAcentral describes it as "partial 16S ribosomal RNA". It matches the Rfam family "Bacterial small subunit ribosomal RNA", at positions 189 to 507 of the family's 1533-position model. The record is from RNAcentral.